GACGAACGCUGGCGGCGUGCUUAACACAUGCAAGUCGAACGGAAAGGCCCUGCUUUUGUGGUGGGCUCGAGGGGCGAACGGGUGAGUAACACGUGAGUAACCUGCCCUUGACUUUGGGAUAACGUCAGGAAACUGGGGCUAAUACCGGAUAUGAGCUCCUGCUGCAUGGUGGGGGUUGGAAAGUUUCGGCGGUUGGGGAUGGACUCGCGGCUUAUCAGCUUGCUGGUGGGGUAGUGGCUGACCAAGGCUUUGACGGGUAGCCGGCCUGAGAGGGUGACCGGCCACAUUGGGACUGAGAUACCGCCAAGCAUCCUAGGGGAGGCAGGAGUGGGGAAUAUUGCACAAUGGGCGGAAGCCUGCGGCAGCAACGCCGCGUGCGGGAUGACGGCCUUCGGGUUGUAAACCGCUUGCGCCUGUGACGAAGCGUGAGUGACGGUAAUGGGUAAAGAAGCACCGGCUAACUACGUG
RNAcentral lists this ribosomal RNA (468 nucleotides) under uncultured bacterium. RNAcentral's name for it is "partial 16S ribosomal RNA". It matches the Rfam family "Bacterial small subunit ribosomal RNA", at positions 28 to 507 of the family's 1533-position model. The record is from RNAcentral.